Coemansia sp. BCRC 34490 is the source of this 84-nucleotide non-coding RNA. The record is from the annotation of a GenBank genome assembly. Lineage: Eukaryota; Fungi; Kickxellomycota; Kickxellomycetes; Kickxellales; Kickxellaceae.
ACGGAUGUGGUGAAAUGGUAGACACAUUAUAUUUAGGAUAUAAUAGUAUUAUAUACUAUAUGGGUUCAAAUCCCAUCAUCCGUA